AUUAACUGUGGCUGCUUUGCUUCUGGAAUCCUAGCAUAUUUUUCUAAGCAGUAAGCAAGAUCUUUUGAUACAAAUAUUUAAACAUUUGAAGAUGCCAGUUUGGUGUAUACUCUAGCACUUCCAAACUGCAUUGCAAGUUAUCAAAGACGCAAGAUAUAACAAAAGAGUAGAAUUUUUUUUGGCUCAUCAUAACAACUUGAAAACAAAAACUGACAACUUUUGUACCAUUAACAGAAUGUAGUAGAGCUGAAGGAAAUUGGCUCCUCCGAAAACCAGAGGGAGGAGUGAACCCUGACACAGAGAAGGCACAAUGGAGUCAACUGCCCUGGUCACAGCUGAAGACCAUUCUGCACCCUGGGCUUCGACACUCAUGCCAACCAGCUCAUCCGGAAACCCACUCAAUGCAUCUUGGAAACCAGUUGGAUCCAGUAGCCUCUGUGGGUGGACCAUUCUAAUUGGGCCUUUCUCCCCACGAGUACAAUGAAAGUUGAGAAGAUUUAUGAAAGCAAAAACAGAAUACUAAUUUGGCAAAAUCAAUAAUACAAAAUACAUCAUGCGAAAAGCUGGACUGGAUGAAUCCCA
Molecule: non-coding RNA, 582 nt
Organism: Pogona vitticeps (central bearded dragon)
Lineage: Eukaryota; Metazoa; Chordata; Lepidosauria; Squamata; Agamidae
Source: RefSeq, a predicted model, not a curated record